GACGGAGGAGGCAAGCGUUAUCCGGAAUUAUUGGGCGUAAAGCGUCCGCAGGUGGCAUCUCAAGUCUGCUGUCAAAGCACAGGGCUUAACCCUGUUAAGGCAGUGGAAACUGAGAAGCUAGAGUGCAGUAGGGGUAGAGGGAAUUCCCGGUGUAGCGGUGAAAUGCGUAGAGUUCGGGAAGAACAUCGGUGGCGAAAGCGCUCUACUGGACUGCAACUGACACUCAGGGACGAAAGCUAGGGGAGCGAAUGGG
Molecule: ribosomal RNA, 253 nt
Filed under: uncultured bacterium
Lineage: Bacteria
Description: partial 16S ribosomal RNA
Rfam family: Bacterial small subunit ribosomal RNA
Source: RNAcentral